GAUCAUGGCUCAGGAUGAACGCUAGCGGCAGGCCUAAUACAUGCAAGUCGAACGGGACGGGCCCCUCGGGGGCCCUGAGAGUGGCGCACGGGUGCGCAACGCGUAUGCAACCAACCCCCGACAGGCGGAUAGCCGGUGGAAACGCCGGAUAAUACGCCAUGGUUCCCCGGGAGGGCAUCCUCCUGAGGAUAAAGCCGAGAGGCGGUCGGGGACGGGCAUGCGUCCCAUUAGAUGGUAGGCGGGGUGACGGCCCACCUAGUCCACGAUGGGUAGGGGAUCUGAGAGGACGGUCCCCCACACUGGUACUGAGACACGGACCAGACUCCUGCGGGAGGCAGCAGUAAGGGAUAUUGGUCAAUGGGGGCAACCCUGAACCAGCCAUGCCGCGUGAGGGAAUGAGGCCCUACGGGUCGUGAACCUCUUUUAUUCGGGGACAAGGACUGGGUCGCGAACCUAGUUUGAGGGUACCGAAGGAAUAAGCAUCGGCUAACUCCGUGCCAGCCGCGGC
RNAcentral lists this ribosomal RNA (508 nucleotides) under uncultured bacterium. Its description in RNAcentral is "bacterial SSU rRNA". It matches the Rfam family "Bacterial small subunit ribosomal RNA", at positions 15 to 518 of the family's 1533-position model. The record is from RNAcentral.